This is a long non-coding RNA of Clupea harengus (Atlantic herring), 409 nucleotides long. Lineage: Eukaryota; Metazoa; Chordata; Actinopteri; Clupeiformes; Clupeidae. The record is from Ensembl.
CCCCACUCUUCCGACCCCUUUAAUGCUAAUAUCCCUGUGGCUAACUGGGACUAGUUGGAUAGGUCAUCUCACUGUUCACAUGGCAGGGGAAAUUACCUUAACUGGACGAGAACGCUUCUACAAGAACAGCAAUGUAGGGUGAUGCUUUGCAGCGGAUCAUGGGUGCACACACUGAGAGGUUUGGAGAUGAUGUGAACAUGGAGAGGAUGUGAUCAUGGGUGCACACACUGUGAGGUUUGGAGAUGAUGUGAAGAAGACCUGAUCAUGGGUGCAGACACUGAGAGGUUUGGAGAGGAUGUGAUCAUGAGAGGUUUGGAGAGGAUGUGAAACCCUGAUCAUGGGUUCAGACACAGAGGAUGUGAUCAUGGGUUCAGACACUGUGAGGUUUGGAGAGGAUGUUUAGACCUGA